UUUCCCCCGUCGCUCGCUUUUUUACUGUUGCACUCCUGUUGGAUGACGAUGAGCAGUGCAACAUAUAAUAGGGCACGCGGCGGCGGGAGA
This 90-nucleotide microRNA precursor is filed under the name Petromyzon marinus (sea lamprey). Its description in RNAcentral is "microRNA pma-mir-130c precursor". Its record names the gene pma-mir-130c. Lineage: Eukaryota; Metazoa; Chordata; Hyperoartia; Petromyzontiformes; Petromyzontidae. The record is from miRBase by way of RNAcentral.